Molecule: long non-coding RNA, 258 nt
Filed under: Rattus norvegicus (Norway rat)
Lineage: Eukaryota; Metazoa; Chordata; Mammalia; Rodentia; Muridae
Description: long non-coding RNA NONRATT028432
Source: RNAcentral
GCCCUUCCUAGAGGAAUUCUGCCUCUGUGUGUCCUGAGUUCACCAGGCAGGUCACUUGCAGCAGAAAAGUUGGUCUUACCUGUGGUCCCGAGGCUCAAGUUUGCUCGUGGGGUGUUGCCUACGAGCUCUCCACAGCGGCAGCCUCCAUUUAAUAUUCUUGAACAGAGGAUUUAUCUCUAUUCCAUUUCCUGUCACACCUUUAAUCUUUGAAACAUACAUUUUGCAUUUUACCUUGUUCAACUUGUAAUAAUUGAUUAA